Molecule: ribosomal RNA, 497 nt
Filed under: uncultured bacterium
Lineage: Bacteria
Description: partial 16S ribosomal RNA
Rfam family: Bacterial small subunit ribosomal RNA
Source: RNAcentral
GAUGAACGCUGGCGGCGUGCCUAAUACAUGCAAGUCGAGCGAACAGACGAGGAGCUUGCUCCUCUGACGUUAGCGGCGGACGGGUGAGUAACACGUGGAUAACCUACCUAUAAGACUGGGAUAACUUCGGGAAACCGGAGCUAAUACCGGAUAAUAUAUUGAACCGCAUGGUUCAAUAGUGAAAGACGGUUUUGCUGUCACUUAUAGAUGGUUCCGCGCCGCAUUAGCUAGUUGGUAAGGUAACGGCUUACCAAGGCAACGAUGCGUAGCCGACCUGAGAGGGGGAUCGGCGACACUGGAAGUGAGACACGGUCCAGACACCUACGGGAGGCAGCAGUAGGGAAUGUUCCGCAAUGGGCGAAAGCAUGACGGAGCAACGCCGCGUGAGUGAUGAAGGUGUUGGGAUCGUAAAACUCUGUUAUGAGGGAAGAACAAAUGUGUAAGUAAAUAUGCACGUAGUGACGGUACCUAAUAAGAAAGCCACGGCUAACUACGUG